This 469-nucleotide ribosomal RNA is filed under the name uncultured bacterium. RNAcentral describes it as "partial 16S ribosomal RNA". It matches the Rfam family "Bacterial small subunit ribosomal RNA", at positions 28 to 507 of the family's 1533-position model. The record is from RNAcentral.
GACGAACGCUGGUGGCGUGCUUAACACAUGCAAGUCGAACGGUGAAGCGAGUGCUUGCACUCGUGGAUCAGUGGCGAACGGGUGAGUAACACGUGAGUAACCUGCCCAUCACUCUGGGAUAAGCACUGGAAACGGUGUCUAAUACUGGAUACGACCAACCCUUGCAUGGGGUGUUGGUGGAAAGAUUUAUCGGUGAUGGAUGGACUCGCGGCCUAUCAGCUUGUUGGCGGGGUAAUGGCCCACCAAGGCGACGACGGGUAGCCGGCCUGAGAGGGUGACCGGCCACACUGGGACUGAGACACGGCCCAGACUCCUACGGGAGGCAGCAGUGGGGAAUAUUGCACAAUGGGCGAAAGCCUGAUGCAGCGACGCCGCGUGAGGGAUGACGGCCUUCGGGUUGUAAACCUCUUUCAGCAGGGAAGAAGCGAAAGUGACGGUACCUGCAGAAGAAGCACCGGCUAACUACGUG